UCUCCAGACUCCUACGGGAGGCAGCAGUGAGGAAUAUUGGUCAAUGGCCGCAGGGCUGAACCAGCCAAGUCGCGUGAGGGAUGACGGUCCUACGGAUUGUAAACCUCUUUUGUCAGGGAGCAAUUGGCGCUACGUGUAGCGUUAUCGAGAGUACCUGAAGAAAAAGCAUCGGCUAACUCCGUGCCAGCAGCCGCGGUAAUACGGAGGAUGCGAGCGUUAUCCGGAUUUAUUGGGUUUAAAGGGUGCGUAGGCGGAAUGCCAAGUCAGCGGUAAAAUCGCGGGGCUCAACCUCGCUCCGCCGUUGAAACUGGCGUUCUUGAGUGGGCGAGAAGUAUGCGGAAUGCGUGGUGUAGCGGUGAAAUGCAUAGAUAUCACGCAGAACUCCGAUUGCGAAGGCAGCAUACCGGCGCCCAACUGACGCUGAAGCACGAAAGCGUGGGUAUCGAACAGGAUUAGAUACCCGCGUA
Molecule: ribosomal RNA, 467 nt
Filed under: uncultured bacterium
Lineage: Bacteria
Description: bacterial SSU rRNA
Rfam family: Bacterial small subunit ribosomal RNA
Source: RNAcentral